RNAcentral lists this ribosomal RNA (546 nucleotides) under uncultured eukaryote. RNAcentral's name for it is "SSU rRNA". It matches the Rfam family "Eukaryotic small subunit ribosomal RNA", at positions 589 to 1142 of the family's 1831-position model. The record is from RNAcentral.
CUCCAAUAGCGUAUAUUAAAAUUGUUGCGGUUAGAACGCUCGUAGUUGGAUACCUGCCAUGAGUCCCCGGUCCUUCCCAGUGAAGCGUACACGGGAAACUCCUUGGCGCUAGUUCAGGGAAUUCUACUGUGAUUAAUUUCACGUAGAGUGACUUGAUCUUUUACUUUGAGGAAAUGAGAGUGUUUCAAGCAGGCGUUUGCCGUGGAUAUGAUAGCAUGGAAUAAUAGCACAGGAUCACGUUCCAAAGCUGUUGGUUUUUGGAGCGAGGUAACAAAAAUAAGGAUAGUUGGGGGUAUUCGUAUUUAACUGUCAGAGGUGAAAUUCUUGGAUUUUUUAAAGACGCACUAUUGCGAAGGCAUCUACCCAGGAUGUUUUUGUUGAUCAAGAACGAAAGUUAGGGAAUCGAAGACGAUCAGAUACCGUCCUAGUCUUAACCAUAAACUAUGCCGUCUGGAGAUCGGAGUUGUCAAUCUUUUGGCAGCUUCGGCAUCCUGAGAGAAAUCGAAGUCUUUGGGUUCCGGGGGGAAUAUGGUCGCAAGGCUGAAA